UGGGGAAUAUUGGGCAAUGGGCGAAAGCCUGACCCAGCAACGCCGCGUGAGUGAUGAAGGCCUUCGGGUUGUAAAACUCUUUGGACAGGGACGAAGAAAGUGACGGUACCUGUAGAACAAGCCACGGCUAACUACGCGCCAGCAGCCGCGGUAAUACGUAGGUGGCGAGCGUUAUCCGGAUUUACUGGGCGUAAAGGGCGUGUAGGCGGCUAGAUAAGUGUGAUGUUUAAAUCCAAGGCUUAACCUUGGGGUUCAUUACAAACUGUUUAGCUUGAGUGCUGGAGAGGAUAGUGGAAUUCCUAGUGUAGCGGUAAAAUGCGUAGAUAUUAGGAGGAACACCGGUGGCGAAGGCGGCUAUCUGGACAGUAACUGACGCUGAGGCUCGAAAGCGUGGGGAGCGAACAGG
Molecule: ribosomal RNA, 406 nt
Filed under: Verrucomicrobiota bacterium
Lineage: Bacteria; Pseudomonadati; Verrucomicrobiota
Description: Verrucomicrobia bacterium partial 16S ribosomal RNA
Rfam family: Bacterial small subunit ribosomal RNA
Source: RNAcentral